Molecule: long non-coding RNA, 1181 nt
Organism: Arachis stenosperma
Lineage: Eukaryota; Viridiplantae; Streptophyta; Magnoliopsida; Fabales; Fabaceae
Exons: 3
Source: RefSeq, a predicted model, not a curated record
UCCCAAAUUGAGGAACCCUAACCCUAGCUUCCCUUUGCCUCAGUUGCACCCCACCCUUCUUCAGCGUAACACACUCACCCCUCAUCUCAGCGCCGUUUCCCCCUUUCACUCACUUAGCUUCAUCCCUCAACCCUAGCAUUUUCUCCCAACGGUACAGAGAAGAGAGAAAGAAAUGAGAUUCGGAGAGUGAGAGAGAGCUCGUGUCCGAAAGUGAAGAGGAGAUGUAGCUCGCGUUGCUGCCUCCAUCACGACAAAACCGUCGCUCCUUGCUGCGCCGUCACCACCGUUCCAUGGAGCUACCGCCGUCAUCCACGCGUUGCUGAGGGAAGCCCGAGACAGAGAUGAGGGAGAUGUUGUUGCCACGCAGCCGUCGUCCCGUCGCCAAUGCCGUUGUGGCGGAAAACCAGAGCCGAGGCAAGGUGCAGCGCCGAGAGGGAGAGAGAGGCCGCCGUCGCGUCCUAUUCACCGUCGCCAUCGAUCUGUCUUGGAGCCACUGUGUCAUGUGUCGCCGACGAAGAAUAGAGAGAAAGACGCACGCAGAAGAGAAGCCCGCGACCAGCCUUGUCGUCAUCAGCACCGCGGGUUGCCAUCGCCAUCCUCGCGAGCUGCCACCGCACCGCUGUUGUGGCACUCUGCUGCCGCCGCGUCUCACCAAGCCGCCGCUGGAGGAGGAAGGCUCGCCAGUUCUGCUUCUGCUUCUUGUUACUAAAAUCUGAUAAGAAUGCCACUGCCCUGCUGGAGUUGCUGUUGAACCAUUAGAACCACUACUAUUUUGCUGCCACCGAGGUCGUUGGUGCUUGUCAAGAGUGCUAUUCUGGUUCUGAAUUGAUUAGUUCAUGCCACUGCUGCUGCUGAGAAGUGAUCAGAAAUGCCGCUGCUGUUAGUUCAGUUCAAGGUUGUUGUUACCACUGCGAAUUAAAAAUAAAAGAAGGCUUUGUUGCGUUUGAUUAUCGAAUUUCGGCUAGUCGAGUGACACAGGUUUGAAGACGCAACCUGAAGCUGCGAACGAUUAGUAGGCUUUCUUUAUGGUUUUAAUUGCUUUCAUAGAGUCCCCUCGCCGAUUGUCCCUUGAGAUUUUAUUUCAUAUAGAGGGGUAGGUUUGGUAUAUUGUAUAUGAGUUUUAUUUGGUUUCUUUUGUAUAAGAAUUAUUAUCAAUAAUAUUUAUGUGAUUACUAUUGUUU